Molecule: ribosomal RNA, 426 nt
Filed under: crenarchaeote SCGC AAA288-N23
Lineage: Archaea; Thermoproteati; Thermoproteota
Description: SSU rRNA
Rfam family: Archaeal small subunit ribosomal RNA
Source: RNAcentral
GCCGCGGUAAAACCAGCACCUCAAGUGGUCAGGAUGAUUAUUGGGCCUAAAGCAUCCGUAGCCGGCUCUGUAAGUUUUCGGUUAAAUCCAUGUGCUCAACGCAUGGGCUGCCGAAAAUACUGCAUAGCUAGGGAGUGGGAGAGGUAGACGGUACUCAGUAGGAAGGGGUAAAAUCCUUUGAUCUAUUGAUGACCACCUGUGGCGAAGGCGGUCUACCAGAACACGUUCGACGGUGAGGGAUGAAAGCUGGGGGAGCAAACCGGAUUAGAUACCCGGGUAGUCCCAGCUGUAAACGAUGCAGACUCGAUGAUGCAUUGGCAUAUAGCCAGUGCAGUGUCGCAGGGAAGCCGUUAAGUCUGCCGCCUGGGAAGUACGUACGCAAGUAUGAAACUUAAAGGAAUUGGCGGGGGAGCACGGUCAUAGCUG